RNAcentral lists this long non-coding RNA (12490 nucleotides) under Vitis vinifera (wine grape). RNAcentral's name for it is "long non-coding RNA (VVIN_LNC004870)". Lineage: Eukaryota; Viridiplantae; Streptophyta; Magnoliopsida; Vitales; Vitaceae. The record is from RNAcentral.
GAAUCAAAUUCUCCAAACAAGUUGUCCCAGGAUCAUCAGAUGGACUUGGGCAUCAAAUUUUCCGCAACAUCAACAGGAGUCAUAUUGGUUUCCUCCAACAAUCUGCGGAUGCUUGCAAACAAAUGGUGGGAGUCAAGAUCCAAGUAAUUCUUAGCAAACACCUUGAAUGCUUCAAAGCAACAGUAGGAUAAUUUAUUAUUAGUGAAUUAAUUUGAAAUUUAUUAAUUUGGGUUUGUGGGCAUAUUGUAUUUGGUGAUUAAUUUAAGGAUAUUUGGAUUAUAUUAAUUGUAAACUGUUUAUUUGGAUUUGGGCUUAUUGUUUAAGUUGUUAUUUGUUUGGGUUUAAAAUAUUAUUUCUCUUGAUCAUGUAUUUUUUUUUUAUGUGAGCUUGUUAAUUUAUGUGAAUUUUGGGGCUCAUAAUGUAGAUGAGAUUUAUUGGAUUAUUUAAAUAUUUUAUAUGGGUUUGAUCAAUUUGAAUUAUUUAAUUUAGAUAUGAGACAAUUGUGGUGUAUAUUAAAUUAAGCUUAGAUUAUGAAAUAUUAAAUUUAUGUUUAGUAGAAUUUAUUUUAAUUGGGUUGUGUUGUUGGAAGGGAGAUGUGGUGGAGUGCUGUGAAGGAGGAAGAAGAAGGAGAAGAAGAAAAAAAAUCUGGGCCCGCGUGGGAGUUCGGGGGAGAAGAGAAAAGGAAAAAAUAUGGGAAGAUGUCAGGGUGGGGUGCCGGAGGAAAGAAAAAAAAUGAGGGGGGAAGGGAGGCUGGCGAAAAGCCAGGGACCCCACCCAAAAAAAUUGGGGGCACUCGUUUCUCUUUUGGGAAUAGGGGAGAGGAAAAAAAGAAAAAAAUGUAAAAAAUCAGCAGAGAGAGAGGCGGGCUGCCGAAUGGAGGGAAAAUCAAUCGGGGGAGGGCCGGCCAAUUGGGAAACGGAGGAAGAAAAAAAUAAUAAAAAAAAGGAAGAAAAUCAUGAAGAGUGGAGAGGGGGGCUUUUAGACGUGAGAGAGCAUGGGUUAGGUGAGGGUAGGUGGAGGAAGAGAAGAGAGAAGAGGGAGGAGAGAGGAAAGAAAAAAAUAAUAAUAAAUAUAUAUAUAUAUAUAUCAUAUAAUAUAAUAUAAUAAUAACAAAAAAAAUAAAAAAAUAAAAAAAUAAUUUAUAAAAUAAUAAAAACGAGAAAUUAAAGGAUGAAUAGACUUAAAAUUGAACUUAAAAUUAAUAUAAAAAUAAAAUUAAAAUAAAUUUUGAACUCUACAUAUAUAUUUAUAAAUUAAAAAGUCUAAAUUAGGUUCGAACUUAGGUCUUCCAUCAUUCAUCGACAGCUUGGCCAGAACAUUGGUUGUUGGGACAUUGUAUGAGCACAGCAUUUUUAGUUUUUAGUUGAACUACAAAAACGGAAAAAACAAUUGAUCCUCAUGUUUUAAAAGAAAGAAAUUACUGUGAAGAGUAUGAAAUAAUAUUAAAAAUAAAACAAAGUUGAAAUUCUUUUAUUCCGGUCACUGACUGAGAAAUAAGAAGAGAAACAAGAGACAAGGAGUACUGACAGCUUGAACCAAACAACCAGCUGCAUCAGACCAGAGUCAGAUGGAAGUUGGUCCAUUUAGCCCAGAGCUUCAUUCUACAUGACAAACACACUGAACCUAAAAGCUUAUCCUAAAUUAAUUAAGUAGAUGGUGGUUCUUUGGGGAUCACCCCAUUUUCUCUCGCUGCCGACACUCCAUUCUCUUUCACCUCUUCACCUGACAUUUCCUUCUCUUUCACUUCUCCAGCAGUUGCCUCCUUCUCCUUCCCUUCUUUCUCGGCCUUUAGCCUCUCCUCUUCCUCUUCCUUCUCUGCCUUCACCCUCGCUUCUUCCUUGGCGGUCUCAAGGGCCUGAAUCAAAUUCUCCAAACAAGCUGUCCCAGGAUCAUCAGUACUGAUGGACUUGGGCAUCAAAUUUUCCGCAACAUCAGCAGGAGUCAUAUUGGUUUCCUCCAACAAUCUGCGGAUGCUUGCAAACAAAUGGUGGGAGUCCAGAUCCAAGUAAUUCUUUGCAAGCACCUUGAAUGCUUCAAAGCAACAGUAGGAUAAUUCUAUGUGCCUGUCCAUCCUCCCUCUCCUUAUGAGAGCAGGAUCAAGUUUUUCCACGUGAUUGGUGGUGAAAACUAUGAGUCUCUCUUCGCCACAAGCUGACCACAGCCCAUCAAUAAAAUUCAGAAGCCCGGAUAGAGUAACCUUGCUUUCUUUGCUUUCACCUUCUUUCCCCUUCUUAGGAAUUGGAUUAUCCUUGGACUCUUCGUCCUCCUCUUCCUUUUCCUUCUUUUUCUUACGUUGGCCUGUGAGGUCAAGCGAACAGUCGAUGUCCUCUAUCACAAUGAUGGACUUACUCGUUGUCUCGAUCAGUAGCUUCCGCAGCUCCGUGUUGUCCUUAACGGAAGUGAGUUCAAGAUCAUAGAUAUCAUAAUUCAAAAGGUUAGCCAUGGCAGCAAUCAUGCUCGACUUGCCAGUUCCUGGAGGACCAUGAAGGAGAUACCCUCUCUUCCAAGCCUUCCCAAUUUUUGAAUAAUAAUCUUUCCUCGUGCGGAAGAUGGUGAGAUCAUUAACAAUUUCCUCCUUCUUCUUUGACUCCAUUGCUAGAGUCUCAAAUGUGGCUGGGUGCUCAAAGGCCACAUGACUCCACACGGACUUUUUGUAUCCAUGCCAAUUGUCACUUGGAUUGUUAGUGCAGAGCUUUCGCUGCCGAUUUCUGACUGCAAUUGCCUUCCCCUCCUUUAUCACAUGAUUGAGAUAAGACCCCACGAUCAAAUCUCGGUACUGUUGAUGGAAAGUGAGCCUAUAGUACCUCUUCUCAUCAGCAGCAGGAUAAAAAGAAAUGGCCUGCAUUUUAGGGGGACUUUUAUUGGAAACCCACCAAAGCUUGACCCCCUGGAAUUCAUCCGUGACUUCUUCAUGGUCAUCCAUGCUGAGGACUACAGAUUGGCUGUCUUUGAUGAUAUCUGCCUUGAGCCGCUUGGCCCGGGCAGAUGAAUUAGCACUGAGGUAGUUCUCAAUGGCAGCAUAGGCUUCGCUGCGCUUGCGUCUGAAGCUAUUUUCAGUGAACUCCUGGAAAGUGAUUUGAAUGUAAGGGUACACAAAGCUCACCAACUUUUGGCUGUACUUUUCAAUAUAGGGCCGGAGCUGGUAAGGGAAGUAUUGCUGAAACAUGGCCCAGAGAAAGAUUGCCCCAGCGGCUACCGAGCCUAGUUGACCAAACAUCUCCCCCAUCACCACCUUCUUCUCCAAAGUUUUCGAGUAUUAGUGGUAAAAUGUGUUUGUAAGGAUUGAACGUUGCUUGCCGAUUAUAUAGAGGAGCAAAACCGACACUGAUAUUCAUCAUCUCACAAGUUCUAUUCUGUGGCCACCGCCAACGACGACAUUUCAAGCUCUAUUUAGUGGCUUCGUCACCAAGGAAAAUUCCCAUUUUCUUGUACCAGCAGCCACCUUUGACGAUAUUAAUCGACCGUGGAAUACUGGAAUGGGUGGAAAUUUCAUUCUGAAGGCCAUCGAUAACUGCAUAAAUGUAUUAGAUUGCAGUUCAAUAUAAUUAUGUUUUGACUUUUGAGUCAUGGCUAAAGACAAUUCUAGUUUCAUUCUUCAAAAAAUGACGUACGUUUGGAGAUAAAUUUUUUAAUUAUCAUAUCUUAAAUUAUUUUUAAAAAAAAAUCGAUAUCCUUGUGUUCUAUAUUUUAGGUUAUAUUUAAUUUUCAAAAAUACUAUAAAAAAAAGGUAAAAAUAAUUAUUUGCUCAUAUUUGAUUAUUCUAUAAAAAAUUUUAAAUAUAAUUAAUAUUAGUUAAAAUUUUAUAUAUUAAAAAAUUAAAAUAAAUAAAAUAAAUUUAUGUAAUUUAUAAAUAAAAAAUUAUUAUUUUUAUUUUUUUCUUAUAUAUUUUUUCAAAUUUUUGGAAACAUAACCUUAGUCUUCUCGAAGCUCAUAUUUGAAUUUGAAAUUUCAACUUGUUUGGUUGUUGGAAAGCUUCCAGAAAAGUGGAAAAACAGGAGAAAAUCAAAAGAAAAAAACAAGUAAAAGAUAGUUUAAAUUUAAUCAAUUAUUCCCCACUUUUCUCCUUAGCAUAAAGAAUGUGUCCCCAUACACUUUAAAGAAAAAUAAAAGAUUAUUUAAAUUUAAAUAAUUUAAAUACUGAAGUUCAUAAAUAAUCUUUCUCUUCGUAUUUAAUUUUCUUCCAUUCUCAACUUGUUUAUUGGGUUGAUGAUGCAAUCAGCUGAUAUCAUCAAUUUUUUUUUCACAUGCCUAAAUUGUCCUUAUUACAAUUAUUUUUAAUUAACAUAUAAUUAUCUUAAUUAGUAUAAAUUAAGGAAAAUUAAUCAUAAUCAGCAUUAAAGUAACCAAUACAUUUAAUUCAAACCAUAAAAUCUUAUAUCUUCUUCAAUAAAAAAAACUUCAAUUUCUCAUCUCAUUUUUAUUUUUUAAAUUUCUCCUAGGACACGAGAGAAAUUACAAUAAUAAAUAAAUAAAUAAAUAUAUAAAAGAAUUAGAGUUUGAAAGUAAUUUUAAAAAAUAGUUUUUGUAAAUAAUUUUUAAAAAUAUUUUUAAUUGUUUUGAGGAAUAAUUUUUUUUUUUUGAGAAUUUAAAUAUAGAAAUUUUUUUUAUGAAACUAUUAUAUACUUUUAUAUAAUACAAAAUAUUCUUUGUAUUUUUUAUUUUUAAUUGUUGUUCGAAAUUCUUUAUAAAAAUAUAUAUAAAUUUUGUUUUAAAAAAUCAACAUGUUCUCAAAAAGUCAUUUUUUAAAGUUAGAAAAUUAUUUUUUAUCUUAAACAAUAAAAUUUUAUUUUCAAGAAAACUUUCCAAACAGGUCUAAGAGUUUUGAAAGAAAAGGAAAGGCACUUGACACUUUCUCCACCAAAAUUUAAAUAAAAAAAAAAAUUGAUAAAAACUAAAGAAGAUAAAAAAGGAUAAAGAGUUGUGGACCGACCCACCAGCACGGCUAAGCUCGUCCCAAGGGAUCAUGGGCCAUACUGGGCUGUCCAUUUGUCUUGGACGGGCCGAGCACUAUCUUCAGGCGGCUUGCGCAGCCUGUUGGAACGGCCCGUUUUACGCGGACAUGAUUUCAGCAACUCAGCUAGAUGUUCUUGUUUUUUAGUUUUAGUUUUAUUUUUUAUUUUGGGGAAAAAAAAGGCGGAAAAAUGAUGGGAAAAAGCCUUGUUUUACACGGCUUGGACGAACCAAAUUUGGAAACUUCAUGCAUAAUUCACCCUUUAUUAAAUUAUAUGAAUUAUAAUAUAGUCUAUUUACAAAAAUAUUAAUAUACACUUUAUUAAUAAUUUAAUUUAAUUUCUUGCAUGACGAGCUUGAGCUCUUAGAAAAAAAGUAACGCUAAAGACCAUAUGUUUGAACUUAUUAAAUGAAGAGAAAAGACAAUUCAAUCUUAUCAUAUCUUCGAAAGUAAAAAAUUAGUCACACUCAUUACAAUUGAAAACAUAUCCACAAAAGUUUUGAUACAAAUAAGAUAUUGAAAAUGUUUAAAUCGGGAUGAAUCAUGAAACUUAUAUGACUCACAAUAAUCACAAAACCACUGACAAUACAUAUGAAAAAAAAAUAAACCUUGUACUUGAUGAAGUAAAAAGUCCAUAAUUGAAAGUCGAUAUAAUUAAAUGCACUAAAAUCAAUUACCUAACGAUUAAAGUGAUUGUCUUGCAAGAGUGAGAAAGCAAAAGCAUUACAACAAUUACCCAUGUUUAAAUGACUUAUCAUCUCUUGAACUUGAUUUGUAAGUUGGUUGAUGGGUAUUAUCAAAUUUUGCAUGUUUAGAUCACACUUGGACAAUGUUGCAAUAGUUGUGUGAGAAGUCUUUCAAAGUGUAGAUUUCUCUUUCAUAUUAUACUUCAUAUGGCCAAUUUUUAAAAAUGUAUAUGCAAGGUGAAAUUUAAGUUAUAUUGUCGAGGACUAAAUUUUGUGGCAAACGCAAAAUCUUCAUUUGUCUUUGGUUUUUGCAUUGUUCCAAACAUAAAUUGAUCUUCCUCUACUUUCUUUGAGUAAAAAAAGUUUUUUCAAGUCUCCCUGACUUCAAACUCUGAUAAUACAUAAUCAAUACUAAUAAAAGAAAGAGUAUAAUGAAGUACAAAAGUUAUAACAAACUCAAAAUUAUCUAAAAAAGCCAUUAGAAAUUACACAAGAUGUAAUUCUUCUUUGUAAUUGUUACGAAAUAAUGAGACUAGACAAUAAGAAAACAAAAUAAGAACAUAUAGAUUUACAUGAAAAUCCUAGGUGGAAAAAACCGUAAGCAUAGGAGAAGAAGAUCCACUAUGUCAAAAAAUAGUACAAAAGAGAAGAGUUGUGAAUGGUUACAAUAAAAGUAUAAUUAUCAUAACAUUAAAACUAUACAUCAUCAUCUAUAUAUAUAUACCUAUCCGCCCAAUCCCUCCACUACCACUACAAACCCUCCAAAAAAAUCUCAAAAUUAGCUAUACCACAUAUGUCACACCACAAGCUUUUCAAGAUUGGCAAAAGAGAAAUCGGGUCACCAAACUCUAAUAGUAUGAAUACUAUAAUUGAGCAUCAACAAUCCACUUUGGCUCCAUAUGAGCAAAUUCAUAUGAGAGAAUUAAGAUUUCACCAUGAAAUUUAAAAUUAAUUGCUUUUUCUUUUGUUUUCAAUCACAAAUAUCAAUCUCAAGUUUGUAUUUUCGUGUGAAGUUUAUUUAAACAUAAUAUUCUACAAGAAAAUCCCAACAUAUACAAGAAAAUACCAUUGUUACAUACAGAUGACUAUAAAAAAUAGUCAAUCAUAGAAGAAAGAUGACAACGGAAAGUAAUUAUUAUUAUGGGAAGGAUGACCGACAAAAAUAAACAACCAUCAAAUACCAACAAUGACCACGUCUUGCUAUCAUCUUCUCCUUUUCUUCUUCAAAAGCUAUGAACAACUAAAUUCAUAAUCCAUGUUAUAAAUUAUUAUUUUUUCCCCUUUUUUCUUAUCUCUCACUCCUCUUGUUUAUUCUCCCCUCUUCCUCUUACAUGUUUCGUGAUUUUUCCAAAUAUUUCUUUGUGCUAGAAAUAUAUUUCCACAAUCCAUUCCCUUUCAAGAAAUUGUUCAUCAAAUAAGAUCACUGGUUAUAAUUUGAUUUGCCGAACCUAACACAGACAGAUUGGGAUAGAUUAGAGGAGGCCUUUGAAAAAGAAAACCACAGGAAAUAAAAAUCUGUGACCUAAACUGAAGAGAAAAGCUACCAAAGCACCUUUCUUGCUAAUUCACGUGAUCUGAAUGAGAGUCCCGCCCUCGAGUUUUUCUUUCCCAUAGUAAGCGUAGAGAUUCUUCACACCAGGCCCACCACAGUAACAGAGGAAUGGAAAAAAUUAUUCAAAGAGAUAAAGGAUUUGAUAGCAUAGAAACUUUUCUACAUAGAAUUUUACAGACCAUUCUAUUAAACUUUAGGAUUAAUGAACAUCAUACACACAUAUGCAUACAAGUACAUGAAAUGAUCUAAAGCCAAUACUACACAAUCAGAGAAAUAUAUUCACAGCCCACGAGGUCGAUUGUGGUUAGACUACCCCAUUUUCUUUCACUGCAACUCCAUUCUGUUUCUCUUUCUCACCUGACGCUUCCUUCUCUUUCACUUCUCCAGCAGUUGCCUCCUUCUCCUUCCCUUCUUUCUCGCCCUUUAACCUCUCUUCUUCCUCCUCCUUCUCUUUAGCUUCCUUCUCGGCCUUCACCCUCGCUUCUUCCUUGGCGGUCUCAAGGGCCUGAAUCAAACUCUCCAAACAAGUUGUCCCAGGAUCACCAGUGACGGACUUGGGCAUCAAAUUUUCCGCAACAUCAGCAGGAGUCAUAUUGGUUUCCUCCAACAAUCUGCGGAUGCUUGCAAACAAAUGGUGGGAGUCAAGAUCCAAGUAAUUCUUAGCCAGCACCUUGAAUGCUUCAAAGCAACAGUAGGAUAAUUCUAUGUGCUUGUCCAUCCUCCCUCUCCUUAUGAGAGCAGGAUCAAGUUUUUCCACAUAAUUGGUGGUGAAAAUUAUCAGCCUCUCUUCCCCACAAGUUGACCACAACCCAUCAAUAACAUUCAGGAGCCCCGAUAGAGUAACUUUGCUUUCUUUGCUUUCACCUUCUUUUUCCAUUUUACGAAUUGGAUCCUUCUUCUCUUCCUCAUUCGUUUCCUUCUUCUUCUUGCGUUGGCCUGUGAGGUCAAGCGAACAGUCGAUGUCCUCGAUCACAAUGAUGGAUUUAUUCCUUGUCUCGAUCAAUAGCAUCCGCAGCUCCGUGUUGCUCUUAACUGAAGUGAGUUCAAGAUCAUAGAUGUCAUAAUCUAAAAGAUUUGCCAUGGCAGCAAUCAUGGUCGAUUUGCCGGUUCCUGGGGGGCCAUAAAGGAGAUACCCUCGCUUCCAAGCCUUCCCAAUUUUUGAAUAGUACUCUUUCCUCCUACUGAAGAUUGUGAGAUCAUUAACAAUCUCCUCCUUCUUCUUUGGUUCCAUUGCUAGAGUCUCAAAUCUGGCUGGGUGCUCAAAGGCUACAUGACUCCAUAAUGUCCUUCUGUACCCAUGCCACUUGUCACUUGGAUUGUUGGUGUAGAGCUUUCGCUGCCGAUUUCUGACUUCAAUUGCCUUCCCUUCCUUCAUCACAUGAUUCAAAUAAGAACCCACGAACAUUUCCCGGUGGUUUUUAUGGAAAGUGAGCUUGUAGAACCUCUUCUCAUCAGCAGCAGGAUAAAAAGAAAAGGUCUGCGUUUUAGGGGGGUUUUUAUGGGAAGCCCACCAAAGCUUGACCCCCUUGAAUUCAUCUGUGACUUCUUCUCGGUCAUCCAUACUGAGGACUAGAGAUUGGCUGUCUUUGAUGACGUCUGCUUUCAGCCGCUUGGCUCGGGUCGAUGCAUUGACACUGAGGUAAUUCUCAAUGGCAACAUAGGCUUCACUGCGUUUGAAGCGAUCUUCAGAGAACUCCUGGAAAGUGAUUUGAAUGUAAGGGUACACAAAGCUCACCAAUUUCUGGCUGUAUUUUUCAAUAUAGGACCGGAACUGAUGAGGCGUGUAUUGCUGAAACAUUACCCAGAGAAACAUUGCGCCAGCAACUAGUGAGCCUGGUUUAGCCCACAUCUCCCCCAUCAUCAUCAUCAUCUUCUACAAAGUUUUCAAAGACUUGUAAUAGAAUGUGUUUGUAAUGAUUUCGAGUGUUUAGUUGCCUAUUAUAUAGAGAAGAGACAGACACACCAGGUCUACCCACUUUCCUACUAUGCGUGACCACAUUUCGAGUUCCUUACUGUUUUUUUUAUAGUGGCUUGGUCUCCAAGGAAGACUACCAUUGUCUUCUACCAGCAGCCACCUUUGACCAUAUUCCACCAUGGAUGUAGAGGAAUUUUUUUUUGUAAAUCGCAGCUGGAUACCCAUGCGAAAAGACAAGUCAACCGAAAAAAUUAUGUUCACGUCUCUCUCUACUUAGCGCAUCGCUGAGACAACUGAUGACGAUAUAAAUUUCGAUCUGCAGAUUCAAAUUAAACAUAAUUAUACAACAUAAAUUUAACAGGUUUAAACUAAACAUAAUUAUGUUUGAAUCAUGAAAUGUCCACAUCCCCCUCAACUAGUAAUAAUCGAAGCUCACAUUAACAGAGAUUCAAAUCAUGCAAACUGCUGCAACUCCUUCCGUCUAAUGCUAGCUAUGCACUGAAAAACUAAAACAAGGCUCAAGAUUCUGGAGAAAUACCUCAAGAGUAGAAGGGCAUUGAUUUCAACGUCUGAUCAUGCUGAUCCUUGGAUGACAUGCGGCUUCUGUUUUCAGACACAAAAACAGUUGAAACGCCAUGUGCAUGCAUGCAGCCAAAAUAGUUUCCCAAUUUUUAAUGAGGUAGGUUAUACUAACCUUUCGGGCCUCCUUAUAUAUUUUUUAAAAAUUUUCGGGAUUAAACAUAACCUCAGACUCCUCUAAACUCACAUUUGAAUUUUAUAUUUUAAGUUGUUUGGUUGUUGGAAAGCUUCAAGGAAAGUGGAAAGACAGGUGGGAAAACAGGAGAAAAUCGAAAGAAAGAAACAUUGAAGGAAAGUAAAAGAUUAUUGAAAUUUUUAAUCAAUUAUUCCUCACUUUAAAGGAAAGUUAAAAAUUAUUUAAAUUUAAUGGAUUGUUCCUUAUUUUUCUUUUUAGCAUAAAAAAUUUGAAAAAUGUUAAAGUAGAUAAAUAAUCUUUCUCGUAUUUAAUUUUCUUAUUACAUUUGUAAUAAUUUUGUAUUUUAUUUGAGUACUUUUCAUGGAGCCAACAUAAUUCAAUCAGCUGAUAUCAUCAAUUUUCUUUUCAAAUGCCUAAAAUAUCCUUAUUACAAUUAAUUUUAAUUAACAUAUAAAUUAGCUUAAUUAGUUUAAAUUAAUCAUAAUCAACAUUAAAGUAAUCUAUACAUUUAAUUUCAAACCAUUAUCAAUUAGUUCUUAAAUAUAUUUUAAUUAAACAUAAAUCAAGUUAAUUAAAUAACUAACACCGGCUUAGAACUGGCUAUCUACUUUUGUGCUUGACAUCAUCCGCCUCGUCAACUAUUCCUCUUUCAAUUAAAGGGUGUGAAAUAUCAAGUUAAGAGUCAAAGAAUGAUCUUUAAUGAAAGCUCGAGUUAGGGAUUAUUGACCAAUACAAAGGGAUUUCCCAAUAGAGAAGGGUGGGAGAGGCAACCUCGUAACAACAUUAGUACAAGAGAAAUAUGAAUAGGUUGGGGGAUACAUAGUCACAGGUAUAGUUGAAUGGUUACAACGGUGAAACUUUGUAGUUGAAUAAGAAAGUUUCGUCUCCAAUGAAGGAUUUUUUAUCUUUUUCAAUAAAACACUCCAAUUUCUCAUCUCAUUUUUAUUUUUCAAAUGUUUAUCUUAUUGUCCUAUUAUCUCAAAUUUUUAAAAUUUCUCCUUUGAAAAUUCUUCCAACUUUUUUGUAAUCUAGAAUUCAUAAAUUUUGGACUCAAAAUUUUGUUAAUUUUGGAUUAGGGGAUUUCAUUAUUUUCCCAAAUUUGAGCUUUAUAAUAUCUCUAACACUAGGAAUUCGGGUUUUUAAUUAAAGUCUCUCCAACUUUGUCCCCAUCUUUAUAUCUCAAGCGAUGUGAAUUUUUCAUUUGGAGAUUUUUUAUUUUUUUUAAUUGUUUUUAUAAUCCCAUCAUCCUCUUUUGUAUUUUAAUAUUUUCAAAUAAAAUACCUAUAAAUUUGAUUAAACGAUGAAUAACAAUAAUUCUCAAAAUCAAACUUUGUAACAUUUUUGGAAAAGCUUAACUAUUUAUAAUAGUUUUUAAAAGAUUUUAACACCAAAUAAUCAACUCUAUAUUACAAAUAUUUUUCUUAACUAAAUAAUAUGUCAAUUUCCUCUAUUUCCCUCUUAGUCUUUCUAUUUCGUGAAAUUUGAUUUCUCCAAAUAUUUCUUUGUGCCAGAAAUAUAUUUCCACAUUCCCUUCCCUUGCAAGAAAUUGUUCAUCAAAUAAGGCCGCCGGUUAUUAUUUGGUUUGUCUAACUUAACACGGACGGGUUGGGACAGAUUAGAGGAGGCCUUUGAAAAUUCCCAAGGAAAAAAAAACCCCACAGGAAACAAAAAUAUCUGACCUAGGGUCCUAAACUGAAGAGAAAAGCUACCCAAAUUAACUUAAUUUCUUGCUCAUUAACGUGAUACGAAAGAGAGUACCGCCCUCGAGCUUUUCUUUCCCAAAGCAAGCGUAGAGAUCCUUCACAUCAGGCCCACCACAACAACGAAGGAAUGAAACAAUUAUUUCGAAGAGUUGACGGCUUUGAAACCAUGAAACUUUUCUCAAUAGAAUCUUAAUUACAGAGCAUUCUAUUAAACAAUAGCAUUAAUGUACAUCACAUACACGUAUGUAUACAAUUACAUGGAAUGAUCUAAAGCCAAUAAUACAUAAACAGGAUAAAGCCUAAAAGUAAAGAACUAAAUAUACACAAUCAGAGAAAUAUUCACAGCCCAAAAGUAAAGAAAUGAUAUGAUACACAAUCAAAGAAAUAUUCACAGCCUAUGGUGUCGAUUGUGGGUCCUAGAAGACCACUCCAUUUUCUUUCACUGCUGCCACUCCAUUCUCUGUCACUCUUUCAUCUGACAUUUCCUUCUCUUUCACUUCUCCAGCAGUUGCUUCCUUCUCCUUAGCUUCUUUCUCGGCCUUUACCCUCUUUUCUUCCUCUUCCUUCUCUUUAGCUUCCUUCUCGGCCUUCACCCUCGCUUCUCCCUUGGCGGUCCCAAGGGCCAGAAUCAAAUUCUCCAAACAAGUCCCAGGAUCAUCAGUGAUGGUCUUGGGCAUCAAAUAUUCUGCAACAUCAGCAGGAGUCAUAUUGGUUUCCUCCAUCAAUCUGCGGAUGCUUGCAAACAAAUGGUGGGAGUCAAGAUCCAAGUAAUUCUUAGCCAGCACCUUGAAUGCAUCAAAGCAACAGUAGGAUAAUUCUAUGUGCUUAUCCAUCCUCCCUCUCCUAAUGAGAGCAGGAUCAAGUUUUUCCACAUAAUUGGUGGUGAAAACUAUCAGCCUCUCUUCCCCACAAGUUGACCACAGCCCAUCAAUAACAUUCAGAAGCCCGGAUAGAGUAACCUUGCUUUC